AAUCAGAAAUCGGGACAAUAGUCAGCCAUUGCUGUUUACCUGUGUCGCAUGGUGUCGGGUUGGUCUGCCUGUGUCGGGGUGUUUAUUGGACAGUACGAAGCAUGUUUUGAUAGUAAUUAAUCGGGAAGACGGAUUUCAAAUUGACCUAUCCUUUACACAAACGUGAAUGACAACGAUGCUAGUGUCACCACCAAACAAUUGGACAUUCCGCCUCUCGCUGACAGCAUCCAAAAUUUGCAAUAAGAUGUCAUGGGUGCAAAGGUUUUGUUCGCAAACUUCAUAGCAGGGCAGAUCACUCCUUUUUUGGUUGCAAUGCAGAUUAUUCCACCAGUCUCUGCAAGCCCAUGUUUACAGACAAGCAAGAUCGCCUUUGCAGUCGUACCUAAAUGCAUGUGCUUUAAUUUAAAUUUUGAUAUAUAGACCGGCCAAUGUUUAUUGUAUGGUGUAAAAGGAUGCAACCUUAAAUAUUAUUUGAUAUUAUGUAUGUGACUUGUUGGAGAAGAUUUUUUGCUGAAUAGAUGAUUUUAAUAAAAUAUUAAUGUAUA
Molecule: long non-coding RNA, 545 nt
Organism: Ostrea edulis (European flat oyster)
Lineage: Eukaryota; Metazoa; Mollusca; Bivalvia; Ostreida; Ostreidae
Exons: 2
Source: RefSeq, a predicted model, not a curated record